CCUUGGGUGUGCAUGCAUGUGUGUGUUGGGAAAAGUAUAUGACCAGUGACCAGUUCAUAAUUUUGGCAUUUAUUUUGGUAUGUCAUCAUUAAUAUGGUUCCAAUUAAAGAUGAUGUCUUUUAUCCAAGACUUAUGUCACUAUAUCAAAGGUCAAGAUCACAGCAAGGGAUUUAACUUUCUCAUAUAUUUCUUAUAUUUUCUUAAAUGGAGCUUUGGUCUGUGUAUGGAUUUCAUUAAUAAUUUGUUCACUCGGCCAUCAUGAUUGGAUGAUGAAACAAGUAUAACACCCAGGCCCUUAGGUCAAAUGUCAUGGUCACAGCAGAUCCAGACCCUUUGGUUAAAGGGCAAGGUCUCAGCAGAUCCACAUCCUUUGGUCAAAGGGCAAGGUCAUGGUAGAUCCAGGCCCUUUGGUCAAAGGUCAUGGUCACAGCAGAUCAAGACCCUUUGGUCAAAGGUCAAGGUCACAGCAGAUUGUGUGCAGUUUUGUUGGGGAUAAUUCCUUUCUUGUAUAUGAUGGAAAUUCUUUAUUUAUUGUAGCAUACAACCAAAAGUAGUAAAGACACAUAUCUGAAGUUAUUUUAAUACAUUCUUAAGAUUGGGGUAGUGUUCUCUUUUAUAAGAUGCAGUCCACUAGUCUAGAGAUCAAAGACACAAUAAAAACUUGCAUGUAAACACUAUUAAAAAGAUUACAGCAAUGUUUGCCGACUUUAAACCACUUUUUGUUCUUUGAAUUUUGACACAUAUGGAGCAUAGCAAUCAUAAAUGCACAUAUGGAGCAUAUGUGCACAUAUGGAGCACAUAUUUUGACACAUUUUUUUUUCUGAAGCAUAACUCAAGAAGUAUUGGAGAUAACAAUUCAGACAGAUAAAUCUCAAGAACUGCAAUGCUCUGUGUAAUUUUUUCGUACUUAGUUUCAAGUUUGUAUGAUGUGCCAAUAUGAAAUUUGAUUAAAUUGCAUGCUUAAGUUUUUGCGCUAAAACAGUCACAGUUUUAGUUUCAAUGUAAGUUAUAUAAUUUUAUAUUAUUGGAUGGAUGAACUUAUGUAUGGUACAAUGUUGUCAAUCUGUAGUUGUUAGCUCUAAAGAAUUGUUAAAACAUGUUUUUUUUCUAAAGUCCAAAUUUUAAUGGUAUUUUCAAUAUAAAGUAUUAUUUUAUUUAUAUCUAAUCUGUAGUUGUUAGCUUGAAAGAAUUGUUCAUACAUGCUUUUUAUUACAGUCAAAACUUUAUUCGUAUUUUCAGUAUAAAGUAUUAUUGUAUUUUUUUAUAAUCUUUGAAAGUAUUUGUUUCUGAAUAAUUGUGUAACAUGGUACAUUUCUUACAUAUGCUAUGUGGGUUUGAAAUAGCUCAAUUUCCUAAAGGACCGAUGUUGUUUACUUGACUUAUAUUGGUAUAAAGGACAAAUUAACUGUUUUAUAAAGGGAGUUUAUGUAGCACAAGUCUUUAUCCCAUUUAAACAUACUGUCUGUUUCAUAAAGAGUGGUAAUAUAUUGUAAGAUAAUAUAAUUCAUUUUAACAAAUCGUUUGUUUUAUAUGGGGAGGUUAUAUAUAUCGUAAACUUAUAUGUCUCAUUCAAACAAGUUGUUUGUUUCAUAAGGGGAGGUAGUAUAGCCAAAGGUAAUAUAUGUCAUUCGAAUAAAUUGUUUAUUUUGUAAAGGGAGGUAAUUUAUCAUAAGGCAAUAAUAUUUUAUCUUAUUCAAACAAAUUGUUUGUUUUAUAAGUGGAUGUAAUAUAUCCUAAGGUAAUAUAUCAAAUUGGAACAGAUCAUCUCUUAUAAAGGGAGGUAAUUUAUUGUAAGGCGAUAUAUAUCUCAUUCAAACAAAUCGUUUGUUUUAUAAAGGGAGGUAAUAUAUCCUAAAGUAAUAUAAUUCAUUGGAACAUACUGUUUGUUUCAUAAAGGAAGGUAAUAUUUCGUGAGGUAAUAUAUUUCAUUCAGACAAAUUGUAUGUUUUAUAAAGGGAGGUAAUAUAUUUAAAGUCAUAUAUCUCACUCACACAAUUCAUUUGUUUGUAAAGGAAAGUAAUAUGUUGCAUGUUAAUUUAUCUUUUUGCAAUGUUUGAUUUAUAAAGGGAGAUAAAAAUUAUGUAAAGUAUGCACUGUAUAAGACAAAAUUUUAAAUAUAAAAUGUUCAAGAGAAGGCGUAAUUUUUUCACAAAACAUGUAACUAUUUACCUCCCUUGACAGAAGUGGCAGUCGUUUUUAGAGUCAUUCUAAAAAUAAUUAUUGAAAACAAUAUGAAAAUAAGCAAAGUAAAGAGAUUAUUUAGGUAAAUAUUUUGGGAUAUAUGAAGAAAAUAUUAAUAUUUAUGUAUAGUUCUUAAUAGUUAUCACUGGUUUUCACUCACAUUUAUUUAAGGCAUCAUGUAUAAAAAUGAAAAGCUGUUGAUUUUUUGAUAAAAAUGUAAUCAAAUAGAAUCUAUUUAAAAGACCCUGAUGCAAUGUAUUUAUAUCUUAAUAUUGUUGAGUUCAUUUGUACAUUUUUUUUUGCUGGUGGUCUUUUUUAUGUCGAUUUUACACGUUUUAAGGGCAUUUUCAUCAUUUUCAUUAAUUAUUAAUAUUUUUUUCUAUAGAUUAUUUGUUGAAAGAAACAUCAUGAUUUGGAUACAUAUUAUGAUUUUGAUUGCGUUAUAGCAAUAUAUAUAUAUAAGCCACACCAUGACAAAACCAACAUAAUGGGUCUGUCUGUGCAGUCUGAUCAGGAUCCAUGCUGUUUGCCUACAAACCCUGUAACAAGCAUAGAAACUGAUUGCCAACAGCAGGAAUCCAGAUCAGACUGCGCAGAUGCGCAGGCUGGUCUGGAUACAUGCUGGUCGCAAACCCACUAUGUUUGUUUUGUCGUUACACGCCUCAUAUAUAAUCCAUUAACCCCUUAGUCUGCUGGCAUUGUCUGAAUUAAUCCUUGCCACCAGUGCAGACCAUGUUCAGUCGGCUCAUUUAUGUAGUCUGAUCAUUUUCUGCACUGUUUGCUAUUCUGUCAGUAUGUAUUUUGUGAAAUUCCCUAAAAAUGAUGAAUGGUUUUGUCCACAUUGAAAGAUGGACAAGUCCAUUUAAGAUAUUUAGUGUAGGAAGAGUAAAUGUAAUAAGAUUUGAUCUUGAUGACAAUAUUUCAAUAUAGAUUUAGUGUUGAAAGAUCUAGAAUAUCUUAACAUGAUAAUAUUUGUUGAAUGUUUUCUUUCCCUGUACACAAGUAAAUAUUGCUGAAAGAUUCAUUUUAUUGUGAUAUAAAGGUAAUGUUAGAUUAUUUCAUUGUCAACUUAUAUUAUCUUAAUAUAGAGCAUUGUGAAAGGUUUACAGUUAUCUCAGUGUAGACCUAGUGGUGAAAGGUUUACAGUUAUCUCAGUGUAGACCUAGUGGUGAAAGGUUUACAGUUAUCUCAGUGUAGACCUAGUGGUGAAAGGUUUACAUCUACCUCUGUAGACCUAGUGGUGAAAGGUGAACAUUUACCUCAAUGUAAAGUGUGUGUGGUGAAAGGUUUACUUUAUCUGAGUGUAGACCUAGUGGUGGAAGGUUUACAGUUAUCUCAGUGUAGACCUAGUGGUGAAAGGUUUACACUUAUCUCAGUGUAGACCUAGUGGUGAAAGGUUUACACUUAUCUCAGUGUCGACCUAGUGGUGAAAGGUUUACAGUUAUCUUAGUGUAAAGCUAGUGGUGAAAGGUUUACACUUAUCUCAGUGUAGACCUAGUGGUGAAAGGUUUACUUUAUCUCAGUGUAGACCUAGUGGUGAAAGGUUUACACUUAUCUCAGUGUAGACCUAGUGGUGAAAGGUUUACUGUUAUCUCAGUGUAGACCUAGUGGGGAAAGGAUUUACAGUUAUCUCAGUGUAAAGUAUGUGGUGAAUGGUUUACUUUAUCUCAGUGUAGACCUAGUGGUGAAAGGAUUACUGUAUCUCAGUGUAAAGUGUGUGAUGAAAGGUUUACACUUAUCUCAGUGUAGACCUAGUGGUGAAAGGUUUACUGUUAUCUUAGUGUAGACCUAGUGGUGAAAGGUUUACUGUAAUCUCAUUGUAGACCUAGUUGUGAAAGGUCUACACUUAUCUCAGUGUAGACCUAGUGAUGAAAGUUUUACAUUAUCUUAAUGCAAAGGUAGUGGUUAAAUAUUUGGAUUUCUUGGUGAAAGGUAAGUAUUGAUAAGUUAACAUUGCCUCAGCAUUAAUGUAGUAUCUAUAGAAAGGUAGGAAUGAAACCAAAGGAAACUUGGUAAUUUGUAUGACUUUUGCCAGUAUUGAGUUCCACUGGAAGAAAUUACAUUAACUCAAAUGAAAAAAAUUGAUUGAUGCCAAAGUUAUGAACUUGUGAUAUUAGUAUCACAGUAUUAUACUAGUAAUAACAUAAAUGGAUAAAGUAGAAUCUCAUGGUAGUAAUGGUGAUAGAAAUAUGCUUUAUUGCAAUUAAACAUUAAUGUUUUACCACUUUCAACUAAUUAAUGUAUGUCAUAUUUCAUUGAAAAUACUGAAAAAUUUAUUUGUUUUGAAUAAAGCUAUGUAGUGGUAGUGAUUGAAAGUAUGCUUUAUUACAAUAAAAUAUUACAUUUUUACCAAUUUCAAUUUAUUAAUUACUAGUAUGUCAUUAUGUCACAAAUAUUGUUUAUUAGUUCAAAAAAGGUGUAAUUGUGAUUGUAAUAUUGUAUAAUGAUGAUUUAUAAAGUGAGAAAAGUU
Molecule: long non-coding RNA, 4651 nt
Organism: Ruditapes philippinarum (Manila clam)
Lineage: Eukaryota; Metazoa; Mollusca; Bivalvia; Venerida; Veneridae
Exons: 2
Source: RefSeq, a predicted model, not a curated record